Molecule: ribosomal RNA, 309 nt
Filed under: Vibrio cholerae
Lineage: Bacteria; Pseudomonadati; Pseudomonadota; Gammaproteobacteria; Vibrionales; Vibrionaceae
Description: bacterial SSU rRNA
Rfam family: Bacterial small subunit ribosomal RNA
Source: RNAcentral
UUAAUUGAAGAGUUUGAUCAUGGCUCAGAUUGAACGCUGGCGGCAGGCCUAACACAUGCAAGUCGAGCGGCAGCACAGAGGAACUUGUUCCUUGGGUGGCGAGCGGCGGACGGGUGAGUAAUGCCUGGGAAAUUGCCCGGUAGAGGGGGGAUAACCAUUGGAAACGAUGGCUAAUACCGCAUAACCUCGCAAGAGCAAAGCAGGGGACCUUCGGGCCUUGCGCUACCGGAUAUGCCCAGGUGGGAUUAGCUAGUUGGUGAGGUAAGGGCUCACCAAGGCGACGAUCCCUAGCUGGUCUGAGAGGAUGAU